Molecule: transfer RNA, 91 nt
Filed under: Colletotrichum falcatum
Lineage: Eukaryota; Fungi; Ascomycota; Sordariomycetes; Glomerellales; Glomerellaceae
Description: tRNA-Pro
Source: RNAcentral
GCCCUGAUGGUCUAGCGGUAUGAUUCUCCCUUAGGGUGCUGACAGCAUCUCAGCUUGGGAGAGGUCCCAGGUUCGAUCCCUGGUUAGGGCC